Molecule: ribosomal RNA, 963 nt
Filed under: Triticum aestivum (bread wheat)
Lineage: Eukaryota; Viridiplantae; Streptophyta; Magnoliopsida; Poales; Poaceae
Description: partial small subunit ribosomal RNA
Source: RNAcentral
AUGGGCGAGCUGCCGACCCCGGUGCUGGCCGUGCAGGCCACGCGCUUCGAGGGCGGCGUGGCUGUCGGGCUGACGGUGCACCACGCCAUCGUCGACGGGCGGUCGUUGUGGACGUUCGUUGAGGCCUGGGCGACGGUGUGUCGGGGUGAGAUGCCGGCGGCCACACCGUGCUUCGAUCGAUCGCACGUCAAGCUACCAGGUGGCGAAGGGCUGGCCAGGAGCGUCUUGAGAAAGUUCUUGCCGAAUCUACCAUUGGCGGCACCGCCUGCGUGGCUGGAAGAGGAGCGCACACGAUUCACCCGUCGUACGUUCACCUUGGAUGCGCAGGACAUCCAACGCCUCAAGCAGCACAUCGUCCGUCUUGGCGAGGCCAGCGGCGCAUCGCGCCCGCCUCGCCCCCCGUCCACCUUCGCCGCUGUCGCCGCGCUGGCAUGGACGUGCUUCUUCCGGUGCAAGUCGUUCGCCUCGGACGACGACGACGACAUGCUGCUCUUCUUCUUCACCGACGUCCGCGACCGCCUCGACCCUCCCAUCGAGGCGGGGUACAUGGGCGUGUGCCUCUGGCCGUGUUUCGCGAGCCUCCCCGCACGAGAGCUUCGCGGCGAGUUCGCCCUCGCCCUCGCGGUUGCAGCAUCGGCAGUCCGGGAGGAGGUCCGCAAGAUGAGAGAGGUCCCAGUGGCAACGUGGGGUUUUCUGACUUCCUGGUGGGCGGGCCGCCCUAUGGACCGUCUGAUGAAUGUGUCGGGCUCGCCGCGCUUCAGGGCAUACGAGGGCGCCGACUUCGGAUGGGGGAAGCCGAAGCGGACGGAGUCCAUCAGGAUGAACCAUGACGGUCAGAUCGCGCUGAUGGGUGCCGGAGACGGCCACGGGGUGCAGGUGUCCGUGUCACUGCUGCAACCGGCGCAAAUGGACUUGUUCAAGUCUCACUUCCUCGACCUACUUGGUUUAACCAAAAACAAUUGA